RNAcentral lists this non-coding RNA (24 nucleotides) under Arabidopsis thaliana (thale cress). Lineage: Eukaryota; Viridiplantae; Streptophyta; Magnoliopsida; Brassicales; Brassicaceae. The record is from RNAcentral.
UGUCUCGUCUCGGGUUCCUAUAAC